Molecule: ribosomal RNA, 596 nt
Filed under: Papiliotrema laurentii
Lineage: Eukaryota; Fungi; Basidiomycota; Tremellomycetes; Tremellales; Rhynchogastremaceae
Description: eukaryotic LSU rRNA
Rfam family: Eukaryotic large subunit ribosomal RNA
Source: RNAcentral
AACAAGGAUUCCCCUAGUAACGGCGAGUGAACCGGGAAGAGCUCAAAUUUGAAAUCUGGCGUCCUCAGGGCGUCCGAGUUGUAAUCUAUAGAGGCGUUUUCCGUGCCGGACCGUGUCCAAGUUCCUUGGAACAGGAUAUCAAAGAGGGUGACAAUCCCGUACUUGACACGACGACCGGUGCUCUGUGAUACGUCUUCUACGAGUCGAGUUGUUUGGGAAUGCAGCUCAAAAUGGGUGGUGAGUUCCAUCUAAAGCUAAAUAUUGGCGAGAGACCGAUAGCGAACAAGUACCGUGAGGGAAAGAUGAAAAGCACUUUGGAAAGAGAGUUAAACAGUACGUGAAAUUGUUGAAAGGGAAACGAUUGAAGUCAGUCGUGACCGAGAGGCUCAGCCGGUUCUGCCGGUGUAUUCCCCUCGGUCGGGUCAACAUCAGUUUUGUCCGGUGGAUAAGGGCGGUAGGAAGGUGGCACCCUCGGGUGUGUUAUAGCCUGCCGUCGCAUACAUCGGGUGAGACUGAGGAACGCAGCUCGCCUUUAUGGCCGGGGUUCGCCCACGUCCGAGCUUAGGAUGUUGACAUAAUGGCUUUAAACGACCCGU